RNAcentral lists this long non-coding RNA (1104 nucleotides) under Anser cygnoides (Swan goose). Its description in RNAcentral is "lncRNA (ENSACDG00005006987.1)". The record is from RNAcentral. Lineage: Eukaryota; Metazoa; Chordata; Aves; Anseriformes; Anatidae.
GGGCACCUCCCUUCCCCCCCCACGCACCCCAGGUGGUGUUUUUUUCUUUUUUUGGUCGUUUUUUUGGUGGUCUUUUUGGGUUUGGUCCUUUUUUUUUUUUUUUUUCCUCCUCUUUUUCCCGUUUUGGACUUGGCUGAGCCCGGUUUUUGGGGGUGGCGGCGCUCCGCCGCCCCGGCUUGGGGUGUUGGAGGUGGCCGUGCAGUGUCCCCACCCUCCCUGCCACCUCCGAGGUGUUCGUGCCCGAUCGCCGCCGUCCCGCGGGGGCUUCGCGCAGCACCUCCGGCGCUCCGGAGGUGUCCGCGCCCCGUCACCACCACCUUGGGGAGGUCCCUCGGGUACCUCCGUUGCCUUCAAGGUGUCUCUGUCCGAUCGCCACCGUCCCCUGGGGGUGUCGCUGAGCACCUCCGUUGACUUAUUGUUUUUUUUGGGAGGUGUCCGUGCCCCGUUGCCGCCACCCCGGGAAGGUCCCAGGGGCACUUCUGUCACCUUCGAGGUGCUCGUGCCCCAUCCCCGCCGCCCCACGGGGUGUCACUUGGCGCCUCCGCCGCUUUGGAGGCGUCUGUGCCCCAUCGCCGCUGCCCCGGGAAGGUCCCUCUGUCACCCCGGAGGUGGCCCCGUCCCUUGGGGGCUCGUGCAGCAUCCCCUAUGCCCCGAGAUGCCCGCUCCCAUAACCCUGUGGCGUCUCUUGUCACCUUAGUGUCCCUUCCGUCACCCCAGCGGUGACCCUGCCGCGUCUCCCUCACCCUUAGGGAGUCCCCGCGGCACCUCUGCCCCCUUGCAGGUGGCCGUGCCCCGUCCCUGCCGUCCCGGGGGGGGACUCAUGCACCGUCUCCCUCCCCCUGGAGAUGUCCCUGCCCCCAUCCCCGUUGCCACGGGGGUCUUGGGGGGGGGUCCUCCUCGCGGCGUCCCCACCCCGGGGUGCCCGCGGUCCACGCUCCGCAUCCCAGCUCCACCGCUGAUGCUGGGGCUCCAGGUGGCACCUCCAGCACCCGUCUGGCACCGGGGGGGCUCCCACCUUGCUUGUCCCCCCCUUCCUCCGACCCCUGCCUCACUGUGAACGGCUCUGUCCCCGCACGGGCCCCCCCCUCGGUGGCCCCCGGCGUC